AGAAUCAACGCUGGCGGCGUGCCUAACACAUGCAAGUCGAACGAGAAAGUGGAGCAAUCCAUGAGUAAAGUGGCGACCGGGUGAGUAACACGUGACUAACCUACCUUCGAGUGGGGGAUAACCUCGGGAAACCGAGGCUAAUACCGCAUAACAUCGCAAGAUCAAAGCAGCAAUGCGCUUGAAGAGGGGGUCGCGGCUGAUUAGCUAGUUGGCGGGUAACGGCCCACCAAGGCGAAGAUCGGUAUCCGGCCUGAGAGGGCGCACGGACACACUGGAACUGAAACACGGUCCAGACUCCUACGGGAGGCAGCAGUGGGGAAUUUUGCGCAAUGGGGGAAACCCUGACGCAGCAACGCCGCGUGGAGGAUGAAGCCCCUUGGGGCGUAAACUCCUUUCGACCAAGACGAUAAUGACGGUACUGGUGGAAGAAGCACCGGCUAACUCUGCGCCAGCAGCCGC
RNAcentral lists this ribosomal RNA (459 nucleotides) under uncultured bacterium. RNAcentral describes it as "SSU rRNA". It matches the Rfam family "Bacterial small subunit ribosomal RNA", at positions 26 to 518 of the family's 1533-position model. The record is from RNAcentral.